RNA transcript from Labrus mixtus (cuckoo wrasse), 3433 nucleotides. It is a transcript of the gene named tweety homolog 2, like, with no coding region annotated. The transcript has 15 exons. The record is from RefSeq and is a predicted model, not a curated record. NCBI's taxonomy places the organism in Eukaryota, Metazoa, Chordata, Actinopteri, Labriformes, Labridae.
GAAGAGCUUCUUUGUUUUUUUUCAACUUUUAUUUCAAAUUAUAUUUUGGGUUUCCGCGGACGCGAUUGCAGGCCACUGACAUCCACGCGGAUACUGUUUGAUUUAAAGAGUUUUUUGUGUUUGAUCAUUUAAAAUUUUCACUUUUUUUUGUUGAUAAAUUCUCCUCAAACGUUUUUCUUCAACGAAGAGGUUCAAUAUAUCACUGUCUGCAUUAUUAUUUGUUAAAUCAAAGUGCACCGUGACCUGGCUCCCUGGGUGGCCCACUUGUGACUGGGGAAGUGGUUUGGCACGCCUUCUCUGUUGUAGGAGGCAGGUUUACAUCGUCACUCUGUCCCGUGUCUCGGAUUCAAACGCUUGGCCCGCACUGAGGCUGAAGCGCAACUCAACAGUUCCCACAGAACAAUGGGAACCGGAUCAGGAAUGAAUAUGCAGCACUGUUCUGGAGGAUUUACGGCAAAAGGAGAGCUUCCAAUUUAAUUAUUCAAAGUCAACUUCAACCAAAGUCCCGUUGAUUUAUCAUUCAACUUUUGGCAAAUCCUGGGGAUUUCUGAGUGGCAAGGUUUUCCAAGGGAAGCGUACAGUCGGUGGAUCGGUGGACUGACUUUUUCCAAGCAGGAAUAUGGCCACUGUACGGCUCGAUUACGUUGCUCCGUGGUGGACAUACUGGCUGCACAAUUUUCCACACUUCAAUUUCGUAUUUGAGUCGGUUGACAACACUUUCAAACCGGAGGACACGAGCUAUCAGCAGUCUCUGGUAUUACUAGCAGGUGUCGGAGCAGUUGGUUUGGGUCUCAGCCUGCUGCUUCUGGCCGCAUACCUGACCCUCCUGUGUUGCUGGCGUAGGGACAUAGACGAAGACACCAAAAGGCCAAACAACUGCUGUGUCACUUGGGCUGCUGUCAUCACAGGCCUCAUCAUAUGUUCUGCUGUGGGAGUGGGUUUCUAUGGAAACAGUGAGACCAACGACGGGGUGUACCAGCUGACCUACUCGCUCUACAAUGCCAAUCACACAUUGGGUGGCAUCAACAAUCUGGUUGCUGGGUCCGUGGGUAAUGUAGAAACUGGACUCAAACUACACCUGGAACGUCUGGAUGAAAUCUUUGCCACGAGGUCUGACUACCUUCAGUCUCUGCGCUUCAUGCGGCUUAUGAUCAAUAACAUCAUCCGCGAGCUGGCUGCCCUGCCGGAUAUCAACAAAGCCAAUGUUGACUUGGCAGCCAUUGCUGACCAAACUGCCUUCAUUGAGUAUUACAGAUGGCUCGCCUUCCUGCUGCUGCUGAUCACGGAUCUGGUCAUCUGCCUGGCCAUUUGCUUGGGGAUGGCCAAGCAGUCUCGAUGGCUGCUGAUCAUGAUUAUGGUUUUUGUAGCGCUCUCUCUGAUCCUGAGCUGGGCAUCGUUUGGAGUGGGCGCUGCUACAGCUGUGGGCACCAGUGACUUCUGCGUGUCUCCGGACAAAUUCAUUGUGAACCAAACCAACGACUUCAUCAGCGCAGAUGUUGCACAUUAUUAUCUGUUCUGCAGUCCGAAUCUUCCAAACCCCUUCCAACAGUCUAUAACAACCUGCCAGCGCUCUCUGACCACCAUGCAAAUCCAGAUCCAGGGCUUGCUGCAGUUCUCCUUGCCUUUCUUUCCCACGGCCCAGAGAGACCUUUUGGGGAUCCAGCGGGUAUUGAACACCACAGAAUUCAGUGUGCACCAGCUAACAGCCCUGCUCGACUGCCGAGGGCUGCAUAAGGACUACCUGGAUGCUCUCAUGGGUGUGUGCUACGAUGGAGUAGAAGGGCUCCUCUACCUGUCUUUGUUUUCCUUGCUGGCUGGCUGCGCACUUUCUGCCAUGCUGUGUGCGAUUUUCAAAGUGUGGACACUAAUGGCCAGCAGGGACAAAGAGUAUGACGACAUAGACGAGGAGGACCCUUUCAACCCGCAGGCUCGCCGGAUGUCCUACAACCCCAGAAGGUCCAACAUCCACAGUUUCUGUAGCUACGCCAGCAGCAUCGGGAGUCAGGCCACUCUCCAUCCACCUCCGCAAACUGCUGCUAAUGUCAUGCCGGCUCCUGAGUACAUGAAUCAGAACAUGCUGUUCGGGGGGAGUCCUCGAUAUGAGAACGUGCCGCUGAUAGGGAGAGGAUCGCCACCGCCCUCGAGUUUUAAAAACCGUAAGUUUUUCUGUUUGUUUGAUUUCAUUGACAUUCCACUCCUUGAAACGCACUGUGGGCUUUUCCUUCUGUUGCUACAAACCGCUUGCUGUGCAGAAUGUGUUAACUUGUAACCUAAAGACCCCAGUAGAGCUCAACACAGUAUCCUAGCUGCUUGAGCUUUGACCUUCUGGCACCUUCUGUUUUAUCCACAGAGUGUGACAUUACUCGCCCAGUAUGAGGACCACCUAUCUAUCUAUGACUGAUGCCCAAAUCAGACACUUUGGGACGGACUUCCAGGUGUAGCGUUCUACCCCACUAAAUCCUUCUGAGACUGUCUGAGACUCUGGGUCUUUACCGAAGAAGGCUUUCUCCAUAGCAUAAUCCUGUUUACGGGAGCUGCAGCCCGCCGUCCCAAUCUGAGACAUGAAAGCAGGCCACAUGAGGCAAUUACCUCAGUAACACACCGAUGCAGUGCUCUGGAGGCCCUGCAUGCAGUUUUGAACAUAGAGGGGCCUGUACAGACUCACCGGAGGACUGUUGUUGUUGUUCUUGUCGUCAUGUAUGGAAACGCUCUUUUUCCGAUGUAAGCAUCUCUUACCGUCAGAUCUCUCUUGAUUCAAAUCGAGAGCCGUUGAACUCAAUGAAUUUAAAACGUCUUCCUGCUUUAGUUUGAUAUGAUCAUUGGUUUGGUCAUUAUUGAUAGGAGUGGAGACUUUUCACCUCGGCAUUUUGAUUCUCUGCUAGUGAUAUGAUUACAUGAUAUUUAAGCCUUUCUUUAAUUUUUAAUGGUUCUAUACGAAAUGAAGGACAAUGUUUUCAACUUUUCUUAAUAUUAAUAUAAAAAAAUGUCAGUGAAGAGAACCACAUAUUAAAGUUUUUUUAGUGAACGGCAAAGGAUGUUUCCAAGUUCAUAUUUUUGAUUAAUUAUCACCCCCCCCCCCCCCACACACAAAGUCUAUGACUGCAACAGGCACAAGCAUUUCUUGUUGUUCUGUUUUGAAUUAAAUUGUCAUAGCUGGAGGGUUCAAUACGUUCUUUUUUUUUUGCUAAGUUUGGAGACUGUAUAGCAGUUUCAUGUUGGAAAAUUCCCCCGGGCCUAAAUAAGCACAAGCAAAUAGGAUUCAGUUCACCUCCCAUUUAUUACUGUGCAGUGACACGGAAGGUAAAACAUUGAGUGAACGACGUGAAAUAAUUGAAAUGUUUUUUUCUUUGUUUGUUUUAGGGCCAACUGUCUGCUGUAUUCUGUGUACAACAAUGUAUGAAACUAAUGUUUGACCAUAAAGGCUUCAUUCACU